This 933-nucleotide non-coding RNA is filed under the name Colostethus sp. A JCS-2008. Its description in RNAcentral is "12S ribosomal RNA". It matches the Rfam family "Bacterial small subunit ribosomal RNA". Lineage: Eukaryota; Metazoa; Chordata; Amphibia; Anura; Dendrobatidae. The record is from RNAcentral.
AAGGUUUGGUCCUAGCCUUGGAGUCAGUUAUUAUUUAACCUACACAUGCAAGUUUCCGCACCCCUGUGAAAACGCCCUCAAACUUCCCCAUAGGAAGCAGGAGCCGGUAUCAGGCGCACUCUUUCGCCCAAAACACCUAGCCUCGCCACACCCACAAGGGAAUUCAGCAGUGAUCAACAUUGAGUAUAAGCGACAGCUUGACUCAGUUAAACUAACUAGAGCCGGCCAAUCUGGUGCCAGCCGCCGCGGUUACACCAUUGUGGCUCAAAUUGACUUUCACCGGCGUAAAGCGUGAUUUAAGAACAUCUAUAUUUUGGAGCUAAAUUUGAACUAAGCUGUGACACGCUUGUUAUCUAAGAAACUCAGAAACGAAAGUUGCUCCAAUCAAUUCAACUUGAAUUCACGACAACUGAGAAACAAACUGGGAUUAGAUACCCCACUAUGCUCAGUCGUAAACUCUUUACCUACACAUCUAUUUCGCCUGGGAACUACGAGCCAAGCUUAAAACCCAAAGGACUUGACGGUACCCCAUAUCCCCCUAGAGGAGCCUGUCCUAUAAUCGAUAACCCCCGUUUAACCUCACCACUUUUAGCAAACUCAGCCUGUAUACCUCCGUCGUCAGCUUACCACGUGAGCGUAAGUGAGCUUAAUGUUUAUUCAACUAAACGUCAGGUCAAGGUGCAACAUAUGAAGUGGGAAGAGAUGGGCUACACUUUUUAACAUAGAAAAUACGAAAGACUAUUUAUGAAACCUAGUCAGAAGGUGGAUUUAGAAGUAAAGUGGAACCAGAGAGUCCCCUUUAACCCGGCACUGGGGUGUGUACACACCGCCCGUCACCCUCCUCAAUGCUACAAAAAAGUUCAUAACACAUUUUAGCUAUACAGAAGAGGCAAGUCGUAACAUGGUAAGUAUACCGGAAGGUGUGCUUGGAAA